This 353-nucleotide long non-coding RNA is filed under the name Eucalyptus grandis. RNAcentral's name for it is "long non-coding RNA (EGRA_LNC001341)". The record is from RNAcentral. Lineage: Eukaryota; Viridiplantae; Streptophyta; Magnoliopsida; Myrtales; Myrtaceae.
CAUGGGAAGAAGAAUAUAAAUAUCCAAAAGAAGAAAAGCAAUAAAGGUGAUAAGGAAGAUCAGAAGAGCAUCAAACUCAAUUGAGCCAGUGUUAUGAGAUACGAAAGGGAGUGUUGCCACGUGAAAGAGUUAUUAUUGGAGAUCAUGCUAAAAUAAGUAGGACUCAGUAGAGUCAGGCAAAAUUGAUGUCUGAAUGACAAAAAUGGAUAGUAAAGGUCGGUGCAAUUUCAAGAAAUGAAUCUUGAACAGAAUGAGAAUGUUGCAAGAAAGGUGAUGACAAGUUUAGGUGUUCCCAUCAUACUCAUUUGAGGGGCAAGCAUCAACCCCAUAACAAAAUUAAGAAUCAAAGAAUC